GUGAGCAACUCCGGCAUCAGAUUUCGUCAAGCCGUUCCCUCCCCUUCGAGGCACGGCGAUCAAACCGUUAGACUUUUUGCAUCACCCGCUGCAGUGCGGCAGAUGCAACAACUCGGCGGAAUCAUCAGGAUGGCUGGACACACCUUCCCCAUUAAGUACCAUGGACAAUCCCUCCCCAUGGUUUUCGAGGAGCCUCCGCAAG
This is a non-coding RNA of Paramuricea clavata, 202 nucleotides long. The record is from the annotation of a GenBank genome assembly. Lineage: Eukaryota; Metazoa; Cnidaria; Anthozoa; Malacalcyonacea; Plexauridae.